UACGUAGGGUGCGAGCGUUGCCCGGAUUUAUUGGGCGUAAAGGGCGCGUAGGCGGAUGGCACAGUCAGAUGUGAAAUUCCCGGGCUUAACCUGGGGGCUGCAUUUGAUACGUGUGAUCUAGAGUGAGGAAGAGGGUCGUGGAAUUCCCAGUGUAGAGGUGUAAUUCGUAGAUAUUGGGAAGAACACCGGUGGCGAAGGCGGCGACCUGGUCCUUGACUGACGCUGAGGCGCGAAAGCGUGGGGAGCAAACAGG
Molecule: ribosomal RNA, 253 nt
Filed under: uncultured bacterium
Lineage: Bacteria
Description: partial 16S ribosomal RNA
Rfam family: Bacterial small subunit ribosomal RNA
Source: RNAcentral